UAGGGAAUCUUCCGCAAUGGACGCAAGUCUGACGGAGCAACGCCGCGUGAGUGAAGAAGGUUUUCGGAUCGUAAAGCUCUGUUGUUAAGGAAGAACGAGUGUGAGAAUGGAAAGUUCAUGCUGUGACGGUACUUAACCAGAAAGGGACGGCUAACUACGUGCCAGCAGCCGCGGUAAUACGUAGGUCCCGAGCGUUGUCCGGAUUUAUUGGGCGUAAAGCGAGCGCAGGCGGUUAGAAAAGUCUGAAGUGAAAGGCAGUGGCUCAACCAUUGUAGGCUUUGGAAACUGUUUAACUUGAGUGCAGAAGGGGAGAGUGGAAUUCCAGGUGUAGCGGUGAAAUGCGUAGAUAUAUGGAGGAACACCGGUGGCGAAAGCGGCUCUCUGGUCUGUAACUGACGCUGAGGCUCGAAAGCGUGGGGAGCGAACAGG
RNAcentral lists this ribosomal RNA (429 nucleotides) under Bacteroidota bacterium. Its description in RNAcentral is "Bacteroidetes bacterium partial 16S ribosomal RNA". It matches the Rfam family "Bacterial small subunit ribosomal RNA", at positions 355 to 776 of the family's 1533-position model. Lineage: Bacteria; Pseudomonadati; Bacteroidota. The record is from RNAcentral.